This 393-nucleotide ribosomal RNA is filed under the name uncultured bacterium. RNAcentral describes it as "partial 16S ribosomal RNA". It matches the Rfam family "Bacterial small subunit ribosomal RNA", at positions 523 to 918 of the family's 1533-position model. The record is from RNAcentral.
AUACGGAGGAUGCGAGCGUUAUCCGGAUUUAUUGGGUUUAAAGGGUGCGUAGGCGGGCUGUUAAGCGUGAGGUGAAAGCUCGGGGCUCAACCCCGGAACUGCCUCGCGAACUGGCGGUCUUGAAUGUCCGUGCCGGGGGAGGAAUGUGUGGUGUAGCGGUGAAAUGCAUAGAGAUCACACAGAACACCGAUUGCGAAGGCAUCUCACGAACGGAUGAUUGACGCUGAGGCACGAAAGCGUGGGGAUCAAACAGGAUUAGAUACCCUGGUAUUCCACGCCGUAAACGAUGAUGACUAACCGUCGGCGAUAGACAGCCGGUGGCCAAGCGAAAGCGAUAAGUCAUCCACCUGGGGAGUACGUCGGCAACGAUGAAACUCAAAUGAAUUGACGGGG